RNAcentral lists this unclassified non-coding RNA (717 nucleotides) under Athalia rosae (coleseed sawfly). RNAcentral's name for it is "misc RNA ENSAEAG00005003620.1". Lineage: Eukaryota; Metazoa; Arthropoda; Insecta; Hymenoptera; Athaliidae. The record is from RNAcentral.
CAUUUAUCUAUAUAUUUUCUCUUUAGAACAUUACAAUAACAUAAAAGAACUCUGUUCUGAAAAUGAAAAUGCGUCUCUUCACAUGUGACACUCGUUAUGCAUUUUAUGGUCACGUGGCAAUUUCGAUGUAUAAUGAAACAACAGAUAUAUCGAACGAUCAAUUAAUUUCAUUACUAAUAAUUAUUACCAAUACAGUGAGAAAUUUAGAAAUUUUCGUUAAUCUCGUCAGAGAUUCGGUAAAAUUGAUGGAAUUGUUGAAUACACUGUUCGCUUCACGAAGUAGAACGGAAAAUUUUUGAUCGUUUGUUUUUCUAUCUUUUACAAUAACGACGAAACUCAUUGGCAUGAUUAUAUAUUUAAUGCUGAUUCAAAACCGAUGCCAGGAAUGCGAACACGACGGAGGGCACAGCAGAAUAGAAAUGUUCGUGACUUGAUCUCAGUCAUUUCUUCUUUGCAUAAAACUCUUGUAGUUCACAAUCGGUAUGAGGAAUAUCCGUACAUACGGAGACGGUCGACUAAGUAAAAUCAAUUAAAGCUGCAAAAAUUGGUUGGUACAAAUUUUCAACUUUUUUUUAUCGAUUUCAUUAAUCGAUGAAAUAAUAUCAAUGAUACGAAUGUUGGAUGUUUUUAUACCGAUUUAAUAAUUUCAUGUUAACUGAUAUCGUCGUUACCUUAUACAAUACAUAAUACAACAAACGUGUAAAAUCUGGAAAAAAA